GAUGAACGCUAGCUACAGGCUUAACGCAUGCAAGUCGAGGGGUAACGAGAGGAAAGCUUGCUUUCCUUGUCGACGACCGGCGCACGGGUGAGUAACGCGUAUCCAACCUGCCCCCAACUAGGGAAUAACCUUGCGAAAGUAAGACUAAUACCCUAUAAUUUCCUCAGAUGUCAUCUGACGAGGAAUAAAGAUUUAUCGGUUGUGGAUGGGGAUGCGUCUGAUUAGCUUGUUGGCGGGGUAACGGCCCACCAAGGCAACGAUCAGUAGGGGUUCUGAGAGGAAGGUCCCCCACAUUGGAACUGAGACACGGUCCAAACUCCUACGGGAGGCAGCAGUGAGGAAUAUUGGCCAAUGGGCGGAAGCCUGAACCAGCCAAGUAGCGUGCAGGAUGACGGCCCUAUGGGUUGUAAACUGCUUUUAUACAGGAAUAAAGUUAGCCACGUGUGGUUAUUUGUAGGUACUGUAUGAAUAAGGACCGGCUAAUUCCGUGCCAGCCGCCGCGGUAA
RNAcentral lists this ribosomal RNA (506 nucleotides) under uncultured bacterium. RNAcentral's name for it is "partial 16S ribosomal RNA". It matches the Rfam family "Bacterial small subunit ribosomal RNA", at positions 28 to 523 of the family's 1533-position model. The record is from RNAcentral.